This 255-nucleotide ribosomal RNA is filed under the name uncultured bacterium. RNAcentral describes it as "partial 16S ribosomal RNA". It matches the Rfam family "Bacterial small subunit ribosomal RNA", at positions 524 to 777 of the family's 1533-position model. The record is from RNAcentral.
UACGAAGGGGGGCUAGCGUUGCUCGGAAUCACUGGGCGUAAAGCGCACGUAGGCGGAUCGCUAAGUCAGGGGUGAAAUCCUGGAGCUCAACUCCAGAACUGCCUUUGAUACUGGCGACCUUGAGUCCGGGAGAGGUGAGUGGAACUGCGAGUGUAGAGGUGAAAUUCGUAGAUAUUCGCAAGAACACCAGUGGCGAAGGCGGCUCACUGGUCCGGUACUGACGCUGAGGUGCGAAAGCGUGGGGAGCAAACAGGG